AUUCCGUUUGGUUUGGAGAUAAUGAAUAUUAGAAUAAAUUUUUUUAUUUUUGAGAUAUUUACUAUUCCAAAAUAGUCAAAAAUAAAAGUAAAAAAUUGUGUCCGGUUGAUAAUGCCGCUAUACGCAGGAAUAACAAAAAUUAUAUUUAUUUAAUUUUAUAAAAUAUAGAGGAUAGUGAAAAAAAUAAUAGUUAAAUUUUAUAAAAAAUAUUAGUUUAAUAAAAAUAAUUUAUGAUAAAAAUAAUUUAAUAAAAUAAUUCAUUACAACAUUUAAUAAAAUAAUUUACUAUAAAAAUAUUUUCUUUUUCAUAUUCUACUUAAACUUAAAUUUAACUUAUUUUAAUAUUUAAGUAUAAUUUAUUAAAAUUAUAAUAUGUAAUAUAUCGUGUCUAUAUAAUUUAUUUUAAUUUAAUUUAUAAUCUUAAAAAAAUAGAAUUAUACUUUGAAAUUAUACUAUUCUAUAAAAAAAAAAUAGAAUAAUUUAUCCCAAUUUCUUCCGGAAUAAUGAAAUAACAGAGUCUGGCCAAAAUAUUUUAUUUCGACUAAAAAGAAAUAUUUCAUUUGAUUGAAUAGUUAGGAUAACUUUCAUUAUUUUUCACUUUAUUUAUGAACCAAAUCGGAGCCUUGAAUAGUAAAGUAUAGUAUUUCAAGUCACUUAUUAAGAUAGUGUUUAGAUUAAGUACAAGGGGGGCGGGCGGAGGGGGGGAUAAGAGUCGUAUCUCCCCUGUUGUAGCCAAACACAAAUCUUUUGGGGGGGGGGGGGAGCGUGCCCACCCAAAAGGUUCGUAACAACUUGUUCCCACCCACCAAGCUUGUUUCCACCCAUCCCCGUUGCUAGAGAGAGAGGGAGAGAGAGAGAGAGAGAUUUUUGUUAUAAAUUAAAAUUAAAAUUUAUAAAAUUUAAUAUUUGUAAUCUAAAAAUUGAAAUUUAUAAUUUAAAAUUCUAAAUUUCAAAGUUUAAAUUUUAAGUUUGAUAUUUUAAAUUUUUUAAUUUUAAAUUUGAUAUUUUAUAUCUUUUUAAAAUUUAAAUUUGGUCUUAAAUUUAAAAUUUAAAAUUUAAAAUUUUAAUAUUAAGAAUUUGAAAAUUUAAAAUUUAAACUUUAAUUUUAAAUUUUAAAAAUUAAAAGUUAAAAAUUUAAAUUUAAAAUUAUAAAUGUAAAAUUUUAAAUUUUAAAUUCAAAUAUAAUGAGCAGGGUACGUAAUAUCAUUAUCUUCUAUUUAUAACUAUCCGCUAUUCUUCUUAUUCCAUCUUAUCAUUCAAAUACUAAUUUUUUUAUUCCUGAGAACAACCUAAUUUCAUAUAAAUACAAAAUUGGUCUAGUUAUAGCUUAUAUCUGAACUUGUACAUGUUUAUGUAAUAAUCAGUUUUUACUUAUAUCCGAACUAAACGAAGCCUAAGAUGAAAAAAUAUAAAUGCACUAAACCACUU
This 1428-nucleotide long non-coding RNA is filed under the name Ananas comosus (pineapple). RNAcentral describes it as "long non-coding RNA (ACOM_LNC001139)". Lineage: Eukaryota; Viridiplantae; Streptophyta; Magnoliopsida; Poales; Bromeliaceae. The record is from RNAcentral.